Molecule: ribosomal RNA, 737 nt
Filed under: Lactobacillus delbrueckii subsp. bulgaricus
Lineage: Bacteria; Bacillati; Bacillota; Bacilli; Lactobacillales; Lactobacillaceae
Description: bacterial SSU rRNA
Rfam family: Bacterial small subunit ribosomal RNA
Source: RNAcentral
AUCCCUUCGGGGUGAUUUGUUGGACGCUAGCGGCGGAUGGGUGAGUAACACGUGGGCAAUCUGCCCUAAAGACUGGGAUACCACUUGGAAACAGGUGCUAAUACCGGAUAACAACAUGAAUCGCAUGAUUCAAGUUUGAAAGGCGGCGCAAGCUGUCACUUUAGGAUGAGCCCGCGGCGCAUUAGCUAGUUGGUGGGGUAAAGGCCUACCAAGGCAAUGAUGCGUAGCCGAGUUGAGAGACUGAUCGGCCACAUUGGGACUGAGACACGGCCCAAACUCCUACGGGAGGCAGCAGUAGGGAAUCUUCCACAAUGGACGCAAGUCUGAUGGAGCAACGCCGCGUGAGUGAAGAAGGUUUUCGGAUCGUAAAGCUCUGUUGUUGGUGAAGAAGGAUAGAGGCAGUAACUGGUCUUUAUUUGACGGUAAUCAACCAGAAAGUCACGGCUAACUACGUGCCAGCAGCCGCGGUAAUACGUAGGUGGCAAGCGUUGUCCGGAUUUAUUGGGCGUAAAGCGAGCGCAGGCGGAAUGAUAAGUCUGAUGUGAAAGCCCACGGCUCAACCGUGGAACUGCAUCGGAAACUGUCAUUCUUGAGUGCAGAAGAGGAGAGUGGAAUUCCAUGUGUAGCGGUGGAAUGCGUAGAUAUAUGGAAGAACACCAGUGGCGAAGGCGGCUCUCUGGUCUGCAACUGACGCUGAGGCUCGAAAGCAUGGGUAGCGAACAGGAUUAGAUACCCUG